Molecule: long non-coding RNA, 837 nt
Filed under: Mytilus galloprovincialis (Mediterranean mussel)
Lineage: Eukaryota; Metazoa; Mollusca; Bivalvia; Mytilida; Mytilidae
Source: RNAcentral
AAAGGAUUUAGGACACUUUUAGAAAUAAUUAAAAUUUGAAAUAAAAUAGAGCUAAUUAAAAUAAAAUUGUAUGUUUCAAAUUUAUUAAGUCAGUUAAAAGUAAAAUAGAAUAUAAAGUCAAAUAAUUCAUUGGCACAAGAAAAUAUAACAAAAAGAAACUACAAUCAAAAGAAUUUAUGAUUCAUAAGAGUAACAGACAUUAGAUAAGAUACAAGAUCAUGCUUAAAAUAGAAGUCAAGAAUCUGGAUUAAAGGUUAAGUAGCACGCUUUAGAAGUUGCUAGGUCGACGGACAGAUGUAUGUCGAAUUGAUAUUACAUCCAAGGUUAUAACCAUAUUCACAGAAUGUGUAGAUACUACAGCAUCAUGAAUAUUCAGUAAUACAUGUAGGCACACAAGAUUGUAUAAAUAACCAAUCAAAAAGUUAAGAAACGAAGAUUGACGUACACAAGAUAUUAAUUAAAAUUUAACAAUCUUUAAUUAUCAAUUAUUAUAAAGAUCAGAAAUUGAAAUUCUUCCAAAAAUAUUAUGUUAUUUAGUUUAAGAAAUAAAAGUCCAAAUGCUUUUCAAAAACAAAUAAAUACAAUUUGCAUAUUAUGAAGCAAUAAAUGUUUUGGCAACACAUUCCAAGAAGCUCAAUCUUGUCUGGGGAACAAGAAUGUCGGGUAAUGAGUAGUGACUAUAAAAGCAAAUAUAAGUCUACUGCCCGCACAUUAUACACAUUACAAUCCUUGUUCCUACCAGCAAAUUGAGUUGUCUUAUUUAUUUCAUUAAAAAGGUAAGUUAUAUAAUGUUAAUUUAAGUAAUUUAAUAAAAUAAAUUAAUUGCAAAUUAAAAGG